Molecule: non-coding RNA, 255 nt
Organism: Pelobates cultripes (western spadefoot toad)
Lineage: Eukaryota; Metazoa; Chordata; Amphibia; Anura; Pelobatidae
Source: the annotation of a GenBank genome assembly
CUAUAUUGUAUUAUGCUGACAAUGCAUGACACUCCAUCUUUGUAUUUUAAAUUAAUUUACAUUUUUAAAGCUUACCCAGAGGUGUAUUAAGACAUACAAAUUGUAGAUCAAACCAGAAAUUUUCCACAUCCUGAACACUUUCCAAUUUAUAACAUCUCUUCUCAAAAGGAUUACUUGCUUGAGCAUGGUUGUAGUGUGGAUCACAGGCAGUCGUAUCAACAACUGUUGCUUUUUUCUUUACAUACACAAACACCU